This 518-nucleotide ribosomal RNA is filed under the name uncultured methanogenic archaeon. RNAcentral describes it as "bacterial SSU rRNA". It matches the Rfam family "Archaeal small subunit ribosomal RNA", at positions 25 to 544 of the family's 1478-position model. The record is from RNAcentral. Lineage: Archaea; Methanobacteriati; Methanobacteriota.
UACUGCUAUCGAGAUUCGACUAAGCCAUGCGAGUUGAAUGUUCUUCGUGAACAUGGCGGACUGCUCAGUAACACGUGGACAACCUACCCUUGGGUUCGGCAUAAUCCUGGGAAACUGGGGAUAAUUCCGGAUAAACCACAGAUGCUGGAAUGCGCUGUGGCCCAAAGCUCCGGCGCCCAAGGAUGGGUCUGCGGCCUAUCAGGGUUGUAGUGGGUGUAAUGUACCUACUAGCCUACGACGGGUACGGGUUGUGAGAGCAAGAGCCCGGAGAUGGAUUCUGAGACACGAAUCCAGGCCCUACGGGGUGCAGCAGGCGCGAAAACUUUACAAUGCGGGAAACCGUGAUAAGGGAAUCUCGAGUGCCAGCAUAUAAUGUUGGCUGUCCAGAUGCCUAAAAAGCAUCUGUUAGCAAGGGCCGGGCAAGACCGGUGCCAGCCGCCGCGGUAACACCGGCGGCCCGAGUGGUAACUGCUUUUAUUGGGUCUAAAGGGUCUGUAGCCGGCCAAGUAAGUCCCUUG